AAGUCCUAGCUUAAUUAAAGUAUCUGAGUUGCAUUCAGAGGAUGCAGGGUAGUGUCCUGCGGAUUUUA
Molecule: transfer RNA, 68 nt
Filed under: Cardinalis cardinalis (northern cardinal)
Lineage: Eukaryota; Metazoa; Chordata; Aves; Passeriformes; Cardinalidae
Description: tRNA-Ala
Source: RNAcentral